Molecule: non-coding RNA, 86 nt
Filed under: Skeletonema marinoi
Lineage: Eukaryota; Bacillariophyta; Thalassiosirophyceae; Thalassiosirales; Thalassiosiraceae
Source: RNAcentral
AAAUUGCCAUUACGGUCACACCCUCCACAUCAGAGGAUACAGGUGAUGAUCAUUUAUCUCUAGAAGAUAUGCAGUUGCUUUACAAA